This 433-nucleotide ribosomal RNA is filed under the name uncultured bacterium. Its description in RNAcentral is "partial 16S ribosomal RNA". It matches the Rfam family "Bacterial small subunit ribosomal RNA", at positions 29 to 507 of the family's 1533-position model. The record is from RNAcentral.
AACGAACGCUGGCGGCAUGCCUAACACAUGCAAGUCGAACGAGAACUUCGGGCCUAGGGGCGCACCUGGGGGUAAGGCGGGGGAAGCAGCACUUAGGUUCGGAAUAACUCACCGUAAGGGGUGCUAAUAAAGGUUAAUGUAUUCGGACCAAAGAUCUUUUGCCUUUGGAUGGGGGCGCGUUGGUUUGGCUGGUUGGUAGGGUACAAGCAUGCCAAGGCCACGUUGCAGAGCUGGUCUGAGAGGAGGACCAGGCGCGCUGGGACUGCGGCACGGCCCAGUCUCCUACGGGAGGCAGCGGUAGGGAAUACUGGACGAGGGGCGAAAGCCUGAUCCAGCAGUGCCGCGUAAGUGAUGAAGGCCUUAGGGUUGUAAAGCUCUUUUACCCGGGAUGAUAAUGACAGUACCGGGUGAAUAAGCUCCGGCUAACUCCGUG